RNAcentral lists this unclassified non-coding RNA (1497 nucleotides) under Hevea brasiliensis (rubber tree). The record is from RNAcentral. Lineage: Eukaryota; Viridiplantae; Streptophyta; Magnoliopsida; Malpighiales; Euphorbiaceae.
GAACCAAGAAAAUCCUUUUAUUUGCCUAGAUUUUCAUUUUUCCUCGCUUCUUGAACUAUGAGGUCAUAAAGGAAAUUUCACAAAUAAACACUUAUUGAUCGCAAUUAAGUCUUUAUUAUUAUUCAUAAACAACCCUUAUUUGUCAACUAUUUAUUCUGAUAAGCAAGCAUUGUCAUGGUUCCCUUCACUUUUUUACCCACACAGCAUAGUCUUGUCCAGGUGUAGCCAGCUCGAAGUUGGAGGGAAGAAGGUUUCCAAGAUCCAGCUUUGGCCCAAUUUUCAUAAUGACAUUAUCAUUAAUCAUAGCCAUAUAUAGAUCAGAUUCUGCAGCCAAAAUCUUCACGGUGCUUGUUUCGCUGAUCCCAUAAAUCUUCCUGAUCGAUGCCACCUUACUGAUCGGCUCCUUUAGCCCCCAUUCAAUGAAGUGAUCAUAAAAUAUGGAGGGUGUGCCAGGAUGUGUAAGGAUGUAAACAUAUCCCAGCAUGACUUUGUCUGAUGGGAAUGGCCAAACUUGUUGAGACCAAGUGUCAUGAUUAUCAAUGAAAGUUACUGCGUUUUCUGGCGAUAUGCCAAUAAAUCCUGGUGGCUUUCCACUUGUGUCGUUCAAUCUCCACAAUUCUCCUUGCACAGCAGCUUGAAGAGCCCCUUUGGUUGUGAAAUCAAAUGCUGUUACUCCAUUGCCAACAGCUUGAACCCAGUCUCUUAGCGCUCUGCGGUGAGCGUUCAAGUCGGUGACAGGCUUCCCAUCCUGCCCAUAAGAAAAGAAAUCCCAGUAUUCGCCAACUGCGAAAUUUGGUUUAGUUUGUUCCAUGUAAAUUUUGGCAAUAUUGGUAGAAAACCCUUUUACGAAAUCCAAUCUCCAUCCAUCGAAUCCAAUUUCAGACUUUAACCAAUUCAUCCAAUCGGACAACUCUUUCUGAACUCUUGGAUUGAGAUGGUCAAUAUCAGUCACGUUAGGGAAGUCCAUUCCGGUAUCAGGAUUUCCUUUGCCAUUGGAAUAGCCUGUGUCAUCAUUGCUGCAGAUGAAGGAUGCAUCCCAGUCCAGGCGAUUAUCAGAAGUUCCACCCUCGAAAAUGCUCCAGGCUCCUCUCUCGUCUUGCUUCUCAGCACUUCUAUGGUUUAUCACAAUGUCAGCUACGCAUUUGAUUCCGUUCUGAUGGAAAGCUGCAAUUAGUGACUUCAAUUCAUCUUGAGAUCCAUAUUUUGACGUGAGAUCAUAGAGCCUCCCUGGCUUGUACCCUUGGGGUGCAUCCGAAGCAGCUUGAGAAGGUGGAGGAAGCCAGACAUGAGUAACCCCAAGAUCAGCUAAAUCAGGAAUGUAGUUUAUCAAUGAAUUGUACCAUCCUCCUUCCUUGUUAGAUGAAGCCCAAUUGAACCCCUGGAACAAUAAUGAAGAAGAUGCUAACAAAGGAAAGAUUGAGAGGAAGAGAGAGAGAAAAGAUAGAAAAUUGGGAACCCUCAUUAUUAUUAUAGUUAUUUUUUACGUUUUUUCUCUCU